RNAcentral lists this long non-coding RNA (4771 nucleotides) under Canis lupus familiaris (dog). RNAcentral's name for it is "lncRNA (ENSCAFG00040025932.1)". Lineage: Eukaryota; Metazoa; Chordata; Mammalia; Carnivora; Canidae. The record is from RNAcentral.
AAUCAGAUGCACUCAUGUGUGAUUUAGAAGGCGAGCAGGCCUUUGGGAUUUUCUGCUGGUAAGGAUGGCUUUGGAGAUGCUGGGUCUCCGCGGGCUUGCUUCUGGCCCUGGGCCUCAGGCUCCAGGCUCCAGCCUCAGGGCCUCGACCAGUAGCUCUGCAGCUGAAGCGGUUUCCAAUCCCUGGGUCACAGCUGAAAGGUCAUGUUCUUGAACUAGCAGUUCCAGCGGUGGUUGUGAUCCCCUAAUGUCAGACGGUAGCACAGCUGGGGCCAGGUUCCGCCGUGUUUUUCUGAGCUCAUCCUGGAGGCUCAGCCCAGACCCACUCCACCAGCCCACGCAAAGAUUUUGUAGCACCCAAGGCCCUGUAUUUUUUUUUAAGAUUUUAUUUAUUUAUUCAUGAGAGACAGAGAGAGGCAGAGGGAGAAGCAGGCUCCGUGCAGGGAGCCCGACUCAGGACUCGAUCCCGGGUCUCCAGGAUCAGGCCCUGGGCUGAAGGCGGCGCUAAACCCAUGAGCCACCCGGGCUGCCCCCAAGUCCCUGUAUUAAAUCUCCCCUCCUGCUUAAAAUACCUACCUAGAGUGACUUCUGUUCCCUCUAACAGGAGACACAAGGCAGAGAACAAAAGAAUGAAUGAAAUGCAGAUGAAGUGCCUGGCAUGGGUGUUGCAGCCUUGCUGCAGACAGAGAAGAGAAGCAGAGAGGAAGCAAAUAAAGCAGUGCGGUGCCAUGGGGAGAGCAUGGAUCCUGGGGAUGCCAGGUCAGACAGGUGAGACUCCAGACCUCGUGUGGCUUAUACUCUGGCAAGGGACACAGAUAAACAAGUGGAUAAAAUAAUUUCCAAAAGUGAUAAGUGCUGCCAAAAGGAUGGUAGCAUUGGAAUAAAAAGUGACAGGUUGGCCCAGAGAGGCCUCUCAGAGGAGGUGACAAUUGGAUUGUUAAUGGAAGGAUGAGGAUGCAGCCAUGGGAGGAUCUGAAGGAAAGAAGCAAAGUUUCUUUGCUUUCAUCCAAACCAGUGCAAAGUUCUCAGGGCAGGAAAGGACUUGACAUGUCCAGGGAGCACACAGAUGCAGGAUGGCUAUGAUAGAUAAGCAAGAGAAGAAGGGAGGAGACAGGGUCCCAGAGGAAGGCUGAAGAGGACAUGAAAACUCUCAAUCAACCAGAGCCUUUGAUUAACCAGAGCGUCCUUCCCUCCAUGCUCAAGCAUUAAUGCCAUUCAUUACUUUGGUAAAUGAGUGAGUAGUGUGUUAAAACUCAGACAUCCUAAGUUCUGGCUCCCUAGGAAAGAUGUGUAGCUGGGGAAGGGAGCUGAAUCAAAUAAAGACAGGGAUUACUGGCUACCAAACACCAGACAGAAGGGGCUAAACAUCCUUCUCAAUGGAAGGAAGUGAAGGGUAAGGAUGGGGGUGGAGGGAGAAAAUUUCCAGAGGAUUCCACGUCAGAUUCCAAAUGAAGCAGGACUUUUCUGGUGGCAGGUGACAGUGACCUAACCUGAACUGGUCUAAAAUGAGCAUUAUUGACAUAAGUAGCUGAAAAACUCAGAUGCGGAUUAAGCCCAAAUUAAGAAGGUUUCUCAACACCAUAACGGUGUUCCCAGCUCUUUCAGCUUGGCUCACCUUCUCUGGUGGCCUCUCUCUCCUCCUGGUGGAGAGAGGGCUGCUGUAGUUCCAGCCCUUACAUCUGCUCAGCCAUCAGAGGCCAUCAGAAACAGGAAUGUCUCCAGUGGACUCAGAUCAAAACCAUUUCUGUGCCUAUUGUGGUGGGCAGGGGAAUGCAGGGCAUUGGCUAGCUGUGGCUGGGGGGUGGUCCACCCCAGGAUCAGCGGGGAGCCAGUCCCAGGCAAUCACAUGGGCCCAGAGUUGGGGAGGGGAGUGAUCAUUCCCAGGGUGAAUGGAGUGAGUUAUCAAAAAAAGAGGGAAUGGAUGCUGUCCACCAAGGACUUCCAACAAAGAGCCACCAAAACUACAAUACUACUACCACUAAUCAUGGUCAUCAUCAUUCUCAUCCACUGAGCACUGGCUCCAUGUCUGAACCAGCUGGGUACCUUACAUAUAUUAACUUAGGCAGUGCUCAUAACUUCUUAAGGGAAGUGUUCUUCAUUCCCUCUUGCAACAGUUGUUUAUCAAGCACCUUCUGAGGACCUUCCAGGUGUCACGGGCACAACCAUCAACAAAGCAGCAAGCCUCGACACCUUCAAUCUUCCAUGCUGACAUUACCGCAAGAAGGAGCUACAGAAGCAAGGUUCAUGAAGCCUGGCCAUGCCUGGGAGACACUGAAGCAGGAAGGGGCGCGGAGGAGGGUUUAAACAAAGAAGGUGACAUUUGAGGAGAACCUCAAAGGAUGUGAGGAAGCAAACCUUGGUGGUGCCUGAGGUGAGCACCUUCCAGGAAGAGGGAGCAGCCAUUGCAAAGGCCCUGGGGCAGGGCCUUGCCGGUGUGUAUGAGGUACAGAAGGAAGUCACUGUGUGUGUGUGUGUGUGUGUGUGUGUGUGGAGGGGGUGUGGUUGAGGGUGAGUAGUAGGAAAGCAGGGGAGGGCUUUCCCUCUCUGGAUGACACGGGGGGCCUUGGGAGAGUUUUGAGCAGAGGGAAGACUGGAUGAAAUGGGAUACUGCCACCUGCUGUGGGGAGAAAAGUUUGUGGUUGGAACACAGGGACUUAGGCAGGAGGUGGGGAGCCCAGGGAGGGCUGGGGCUGGGUGGUGGCAGGGGGUGGGCAAAGGAUUCUAUGCGGGCAGUGUUGGUGGGCAGAUUGGAUAAUGGGGUGAGGGAAAAAGAUGUCCUUAUACAGAUGAGAAGGCAGAGCACAGGAUCUUAAGAAACUUGUCCUGGACUCUGAGUCCACCUUGGCAGGCUGUGCGCAGUCAAGGCACCUGCCUGGCAGUGGGGACACCCAGAGGAAGGGGCUGCCUAUUUCUAAUGAACUGGCGCUGGCCCUGCCUGUGAGAGGCCGCGUCCUGCCCCCUGACCCCACGGAGGACAGCAGGCAUGCUCACAGGUAACCACUGACUGUCCCCUUGUCCCCUGGGGAUGCUGGUCCAGGAGGGCUGGGCCCAGCGGAGAGCAAAGGAGUGGGGGCUGCCCAGGCUCUCCAGAGAGAAACCCAGAGGGACAGAAAGCAGAGGCUGCUGUGUUUUUCAGGAAGGAAAUCUUCGCUGCUGUAACAGUCUGGGAGUCUCGGCUCGGCCCAGCAGUCCAGCCCGGCAGGAAGUGCCCCCUCCCGCCGGCUCGCUGGUCCCAGGCAAACACUUUUGAGGACAGGAAGGGGAGAGGUGAGGUGAGUAUCAAAGCAGCUGUGGAAUUCGGGGGCGGGCCCACCAAGGGGGUCCUGGCCAUCUUAAGUGCUGAUGGUGACUUCCAAGACCCCAGAUCAUGAGCAGCUGGGGGGCCGGGGUGGGUGGGGGUGGGGUGGCCGGGCCCUGGGCCCUGGGCCCAGCCCCACAAUGCAGCGCAUUACCCAGCCGGAAUUCCUGCAGGACGCUUUGUUCUACAUGGCGGCCCUGCUAGGGCCAUCAGGCCUGGGCCGUGGCCUGGGGGGCAGGCCAGAAUGAGGCCUCAGGAAGCCCUCAGCCGGUUCCAGGGCUGGGCACUGCCUGCUGGUCCUGCCAGCCCUUUUCGGGGCACCCUCCACCCCACCGGCGCCACAGACCCCCCUGGGCACCCCGCCCUGGAGCCACCUGGAAACUGGGCCCGGUCCAGCCGGACAGGCGUGUUAACUCCAGCUGGGGGGCUUUGCUGAGGCCACCCCAGUUUCCUGAGGCUGUGCCCACUGCCUACCACCGAUCCCAACUAAUUCCCACCAGGCAGUUUCCCCAGCCCUCCCCCAGCCUCUCCCCUCCCUGCCCCUCCUCCUCCCCCCUCCCCACUGCAAUCUGCCCUGGGGGCAUUCCCUGGCCGGUUCACAGUGGAAACUGCAGACCUGACCCAGGAGGCCACAGGCUCCCCGCCCCUAUGCCCCGUAGAUGUCUGUCACAGAUGCAGUAAAUGCAGUAAAGCAGGGACACCCACGGGAGGAGAAACAUUCAGCUUUGGGGAACUGAUGCAGAAUUAUGCAAUCAGAAAAAUCUGGAGGCAAAGCAUGUUCAUUUCAGCACUGAGUUUCGGUGUUACUUUGAUUUGUGGAAUUUGCUAGACCAGACACAUAGGGCGCUUACUCUGAGCAGGGCACUGUGCUAAGCUCUUCACCUGUACCGAGGCACCAGCAAUGGCAGUAGCUCCACGCUUUGAUGAAGGAGUAGACUGAACCACAGACAGGGGGACAAGAUGCCCAGAGGCGGAAAGUUGCAGACUUAGGAUUCGACCCUGGUGUUCAACUCUGCUUUGCAUCCCCAAGUUCUUAGCCACUAAGGCCUCCGGCUUUCCCUUCCCCUGCCAACCUCAGAGGAGUAAAGCCCCCAUCUUUCCAGGGAGAGGAGGUUAUUCUUCAGAACUGUGUAAGGUGGAGGGGUGUAUGUGUGUGUGAAUGUGCAUGUGUGACAGUGUGUGUGUGUGUGUGUGUGCAUGCGGGAGUGUCUGGGAGUUGUAACAGUGAGUGUAUUGUGUGAACGAGCAUAUAUGUGUGAGUGUGUGUGUGUUUGAGUGGGGUGUGGGUAGGGGUGUGUGUGGUGCGCGUGGGGUGUGAGUGGGUGUAUCGUGAGCACACUGCGCCUGUGUGCGCGGCAGCCCAGCCCGGGAACUCCUGAGAAGAGCUGUGAGGAAAGAGGGAGUAGGGCAGGGGUGAGACUCUGGAUGUGCCUGAAAAAAUUAAAGAGCGAUUAGUCAAAGCUGAAUUGUUUUGCU